UACGUAGGUGGCAAGCGUUGUCCGGAAUUAUUGGGCGUAAAGCGCGCGCAGGCGGUCUUUUAAGUCUGAUGUGAAAGCCCACGGCUCAACCGUGGAGGGUCAUUGGAAACUGGUCGACUUGAGUGCAGAAGAGGGAAGUGGAAUUCCAUGUGUAGCGGUGAAAUGCGUAGAGAUAUGGAGGAACACCAGUGGCGAAGGCGGCUUCCUGGUCUGUAACUGACACUGAGGCGCGAAAGCGUGGGGAGCAAACAGGAUUAGAUA
Molecule: ribosomal RNA, 261 nt
Filed under: uncultured prokaryote
Description: partial 16S ribosomal RNA
Rfam family: Bacterial small subunit ribosomal RNA
Source: RNAcentral